Molecule: long non-coding RNA, 2573 nt
Filed under: Papio anubis (olive baboon)
Lineage: Eukaryota; Metazoa; Chordata; Mammalia; Primates; Cercopithecidae
Description: lncRNA (ENSPANG00000049613.1)
Source: RNAcentral
AGAGUAGAAUGAUUGUAAAUUUUUACAUAUGAUAAUGGUAUGAUAGCUAAGGUUUUUAUUUUUAGAGAUGCUUGCAGAAAUAUUCAUGGAUGCGGCCAAGUGCGGUGGCUCAUGCCUGUAAUCCCAGCACUUUGGGAGGCUGAGGUGGGCGGAUUACGAGGUCAGGAGAACCAGACCAUCCUGGCUAACAUGGUGAAACCCGGUCUCUACUAAAAAUAAAAAAUAAAAAUAAAUUUUAAAAAAAUAACAGGGCAUGGUGGCGGGCGCCUGUAGUCCCAGCUACUCGGGAGGCUGAGGCAGGAGAAUGACGUGAACCUGGGAGGUGGAGCUUGCAGUGAGCGAAGAUCGUGCCACUGCACUCCAGCCUGGGCAACAGAGUGAGACUCUGUGAAAGACAGAGAGAAAGAAGGAAGGAAGGAAGGAAGGAAGGAAGGAAGGAAGGAAGGAAGGAAGGUAGGAAGGAAGGAAGGAGGGAGGGAGGGAGGGAGGGAGGGAGGGAAGGAAGGAAGGAAAGGAAGGAAGGAAAGGAGGGAGGGAGGCAGGGAGGGAGGGAAGGAAGGAAAAGAAAGAAAGAAAUAUUCAUACGAUGUCUAGGAUUUGCCUCCAUAAAACCCAAUGAGGUUGGGGGUUGGGAAACAAAAGAAAAUAUGGAUGAGGAUGAAACGAGAUUGGCUUAGAGUUGGUAGGUGUUGAAGUUGAGCAGUGAGCGCCUGAGGACUUCUUAGGCUAUGUCUCUACUUCUGUGUAUGUUUCAAAAUUUCCCAAACGAAACAUUUUCUAAAUUGUCCAGUGUAGAAGGCUCAAGCCUUCGGCAUCUUCCCCCAUCCCCACCGAAGUCCCCAGUCCUCCCCUGGUAACAUUCUGGGCAGCUUUCCUCCUUGCUUCCCCAGCACCUCCUGGGCUAUUUCAGACUCCGUGCCAGCGGAGCACCACACUGCCUCAGCCCCCGCAGUUGGCACUUGGACAAAAAUCUUUUCCUGACCCCAGAUGGCAUUGCAGCUUCCUCAGUCCGAUCCUGUAAGCAUAUUUUUUUCCAGGCACCUGAUUCCUGGAUGUGGCAGCAAUAAAACCAACCGAGAUUGUUUGACUGGCCCCCUCUGGAGCAGGUAUUUCCCAUUCCGAUGCCGUCAGCCAUCUGAGCGUGCUGCUUCCAAGAGCUCGGAAAUAACAGCCGGGAGACCCGGUGCAUCGCCCACAAGACGCCGGCUCAUUUAUCUUCUUGUGGUUGUAUUUUCUUAUGGGAAGGACAUUUCAAGGGAUAUUUACAAGUAAGAGAAUCCAAAAGACAUAGCUUCAAAUCACUCCUUCCUCCUCACCUGCUAAGCCAGGUUUUAUAUGAUCCCUUUCAAUCCGAGACUGAUAACACAGAAAUGAAACCAUGGACAUAAAAUACCUUUCUUUGUGUUUUACCCCAAUUUUCCCUCCAUAAAAUGUUUCUGCUCUCUUUUCUUAGUGGACUCAAUCCCAUAAUUGGUUGCCUUGGGCUAUGUUUUACAGCACCUGUCUUAGUCUAAAACAGAUUCACAAUAUCCUCUGGCUACAGAAUACAGAGUGCAGUAGCUUCCCCUGUUAGACAUGAGUCCCAGGGGGGUGGGAGUUUGGAAUGGGGGAUGGUGUGGGGAAGCAUUCUGCUGCAAUGCAGGUAAGCUCAUUCUGCUCAUUUCAUGUGGCAGAUGUGGCCAGGAAGUCCAAGCGAUAUCUUCCAUGUAGCCGUACUCCUUCCAGGAAGUGAACUGCCCCAGGCCUACUGGUGAAGGUUCCCAGCACCUACUUGGAGCCAUGCCUUAAGUUUUGCCACUAGAGAUUUUUUUUCCUUUUGAAGAUUUAAUAAUGGAAUGUUAAAAAUAUGUAAAAAUGUAAUGAAAUAAUAGAAUAGACACUAAAAUCAAACAUUUUGUGUUAUUCACUUCAAACCUCCUCUCCAAAGAACAUUAAGAGUUCUGCAGAAUCUCUACCCUCCAUCUCUUUCCCUCUGUCCCCAGACAUACCACUACCCUGAAAGGUUUCUACCGUUCCUAAGCAUGUCUUUAUGCAUUUGCUGUAUUUAGGGUAUCGUGCUGUACAUAUCAGUAUGCAACUUGCUUUUCUAAAGUCAGUAUGGUUUGGUAAUUGAGACGUAUCACUGUUGAUACAGGCUGAUCUCAUUCAUUUCUUUCAUCUGCUCUAUAGUAUUUCAUUUACUAAACUAUAUUCAUCAUUUGUUGUUGAUUAGAUGUAAAUACUAUUGGCUUGAGUACUGCUCUUAUAUCCAAUAACCUUGAUGAAUACUUCUUAUUUAUAAUUGUUGGUCUACAGAUUACUUUUAUCUUCUAUACUGGCAAUUAUUUCAUCUGUAAUAAUGAGAAACUUCUUCUUCCCUUCCAAUCCUUCUUCCUUCCUUCCUUCCUUCCAUCCUUCCUUUCUUCAUUAUAUCCUUUCUUUUCUUUCUUUCUCUUUCUUUCUUUCUUUCUCUCUUUCUUUCUUUUUCCUUGUGUAAACAUCACUUUUAAUAGAAGUGGCAAUAGCAAGCAUCCUUGUCUUAUUUCUAACUUUCAAGAUAAUGCUUAUUUGAUCAGAUCUUUAAGUAAGAUUUU